CUUAUAUUGAACAUAAGGAAAAAAAUUGCAAAGAGGUUGCAUUUUAAGCUUCCAUUUUGCUUGUGUGGAAGACAUUUUCUUUAUUGCUGCAGAAUUUGCUGGAUGCCCUCACUUACACAGCUUGUGAAGGCUCCCAGUUGAGGAGAGGCUGGACGUGGCCCGUGCUCUCUGCAGGGAGGCCAGGAGCAGAGCUUUGUAGCUGUGCGCAUGGUGCUGAUGGCAGUUGAACGCAGACUGGCAGUGGAGACAUCCAGAAACAAACCUUUUGUUCUUGAUGCUUCAGAAGCAAAUAUCUGAAUUUGGAAAUUAAAUUUGACUUUCUUGCCAAAAUUUAGAA
This 337-nucleotide long non-coding RNA is filed under the name Struthio camelus australis. RNAcentral's name for it is "lncRNA (ENSSCUG00000000221.1)". Lineage: Eukaryota; Metazoa; Chordata; Aves; Struthioniformes; Struthionidae. The record is from RNAcentral.